Molecule: small nuclear RNA, 105 nt
Organism: Mobula hypostoma (lesser devil ray)
Lineage: Eukaryota; Metazoa; Chordata; Chondrichthyes; Myliobatiformes; Myliobatidae
Source: RefSeq, a predicted model, not a curated record
GUACCCUUUGGCAGCACAUAUACUAAAACUGAAACAAUACAGAGAAGAUUAGCAUGGCCCCUGCACAGGGAUGACAUGCAUAUUCAUGAAGUGUUCCAUAUAUAU